This 1007-nucleotide long non-coding RNA is filed under the name Salmo salar (Atlantic salmon). Its description in RNAcentral is "lncRNA (ENSSSAG00000122090.1)". Lineage: Eukaryota; Metazoa; Chordata; Actinopteri; Salmoniformes; Salmonidae. The record is from RNAcentral.
GGCUCUCUGGGGCUCUGGACGUAAAAACCUCUCAUCAUCACCAUCAUCCUCAGACAGAGGCUGUGUCAGGCACCUGAGACCAUGUUUUUCCAUCAGCGCUGAGCAGGGAUCAGACCAAUCCUGCUGCUGAUGACGAUGACCUGGACACCAGCUUUAGUAGUACAGAGCCUGUAGACCCAUUGAAUGAAAGCUUUCAGCAUGGAAUAAGCCCAAUCUCAACAUCACCUGACGUGGAUACAAGCCAUGACAGCCAAAGGAAAAUGCCACGGGCACUAUCUGAUGUGUGGAGACAUUUCACUGCAGCUAAUGUAGAAGGAAAGGCUGUGUACAUUUGCAAAUACUGUGCCAAAUCAUGUGUGAAGAAUGCAACAAAGAUGCAGAAUCAUCUGGCCAAGUGCAUAAAGUUCCUUCAGCGUUCACAACAAGCAACCUCUGACAAAAGUCCCUCUACUUCUAUUCGAGGUCAAAUCAGACACCUUAUCGAUUGCAACAGCUGGAAUCAGAAGUUUUUUGACUCAACGGAGGAACGUAGUCAGAGAAAUGCUGAUGAAUGUCUUGCUCGAGCUGUGUAUGCAACUGGUUCACCUCUGAUGCUCACAGGCAAUGUGUAUUGGAAGAAAUUUCUGAAUGUUCUUUGCCCAGCAUACACCCCUCCAACCAGACAUGCUUUAUCUACUAAUUUGCUGGAUGCAGAGUUCAACAGAAGAGUCAACUCAUUUAAUUAAAGUUCAAUUCAUAACUAAAUAGUUUUUUUUAUUUCUAUUGUAAGGAUUUAAUAAUUUGCAAUUAUGUCUACUUAUCAAGGCACAAGGCGAGACCCAGAUGCAGACACAGGAGGCAGAUGGUUGGAGUCUUACAAUGUUUAUUAAUCCAAAGGGUUAGGCAAAAGAAUGGUUGUGGACAGGCAAAAAGGUCAAAACCAGAUCAGAGUCCAGGAGGUACAGAGUGGCAGACAGGCUCGUGGUCAAGGCAGGCAGAAUGGUCAGGCAGGCGGGUAGAAAAAGGAG